AGUAUUUCCCUCCGGAGUGUAGCGCCUGUGAAAUGCUCCAAGAUGAUCUCGGAUGCAAAUUCAGCCAUGCAAGAGUGAUGAAAUGCUUGCAUUAUUUCCAAAGAUGAAUUAAGACAAUGAGGCAGCUCUUCAUUUGUCAAAUUUUCAAAGGAUUCUGUGAGGCCCCCAAAACUUGAGAACCUCUUGGAUUCAUCUCUCCACUCUGGUUUCUACCCCCAGAAUCUAUCAAGUGGCCUCACUCCUGGAUUACCUCCAGCACAAGAGAAAGUGCAUAUUCUGUCUGCUCUACUGGGCCAGGGGAGUAGGGAAAGAACAGGAGACAGUAAGGAUAAAAUGAAAGCAACAUAAAUGGGCAGCAUAAAAUAGAAAAAGCAGCUAUUGCAUCUCCCUCAUUUCAGAUUAUUUGUCAGAUAUGCCCUUCCCCACACAUGUGUGUAUGCAUGUUCCUUUACAUCACAGUUCUGUCCAUCUGCCCA
RNAcentral lists this non-coding RNA (476 nucleotides) under Pan troglodytes (chimpanzee). Lineage: Eukaryota; Metazoa; Chordata; Mammalia; Primates; Hominidae. The record is from RNAcentral.